GAUGAACGCUAGCUACAGGCUUAACACAUGCAAGUCGAGGGGUAACGAGAGGAAAGCUUGCUUUCCUUGUCGACGACCGGCGCACGGGUGAGUAACGCGUAUCCAACCUGCCCCCAACUAGGGAAUAACCUUGCGAAAGUAAGACUAAUACCCUAUAAUUUCCUCAGAUGUCAUCUGACGAGGAAUAAAGAUUUAUCGGUUGCGGAUGGGGAUGCGUCUGAUUAGCUUGUUGGCGGGGUAACGGCCCACCAAGGCAACGUUCAGUAGGGGUUCUGAGAGGAAGGUCCCCCACAUUGGAACUGAGACACUGUCCAAACUCCUACGGGAGGCAGCAGUGAGGAAUAUUGGUCAAUGGGCGGAAGCCUGAACCAGCCAAGUAGCGUGCAGGAUGACGGCCCUAUGGGUUGUAAACUGCUUUUAUACAGGAAUAAAGUUAGCCACGUGUGGUUAUUUGUAGGUACUGUAUGAAUAAGGACCGGCUAAUUCCGUGCCAGCCGCCGCCGUAA
Molecule: ribosomal RNA, 506 nt
Filed under: uncultured bacterium
Lineage: Bacteria
Description: partial 16S ribosomal RNA
Rfam family: Bacterial small subunit ribosomal RNA
Source: RNAcentral